Molecule: long non-coding RNA, 548 nt
Filed under: Chrysolophus pictus (golden pheasant)
Lineage: Eukaryota; Metazoa; Chordata; Aves; Galliformes; Phasianidae
Description: lncRNA (ENSCPIG00010005867.1)
Source: RNAcentral
GUUUCUGAAAAGGCAGAGAAUUCAUGUACCCUGCAUCAGGCCCUGCUGCUAAUCCUGGCAGUCUGAGCCACAGGCGGUUGUCUGAUGUUCAGCAUCCUCCUAUCCUGGUGGAUUAUAUCAUGAACAGCUCUGCCUGGGGUCAUUUGUGAAGAGAUAUCUUGGAGGACAGGAUCAUCACUGGUUGGGGACCAGCGUGGCUGCUUAAAUUGUCCAUCCUGGUGUCUGUCAAGAAGGACUCCAGGAUCUUGGCCAGCUGGAGCCAGAGAGGCUGCCAAGUCCGUCAGGUUGAUGGAGCCAGCAGGCUGUUCCACCUGACUGUCUGGAAGCAUUCCUUUGCUCUCUUGAGAGUUUCCCAAUGCGUCUCCAUUUCCUUUGAAAGAAGGUUCACCCAUGAUUGCCAGCGUCUAUGUCAGGUCUUCUUUGCAUGGGUGCUGAGACUGCAAAACCCAGAGACCCAUGGCCCCUCUCAGCACUGUUUUAGCUAUCUUCCAGCUGCACAAGCACUGAAAAGCUCCAAAAAAUAUCUAAUGAGGCAGAUGAAAAGACAC